RNAcentral lists this ribosomal RNA (460 nucleotides) under uncultured Marinilabiliaceae bacterium. RNAcentral's name for it is "bacterial SSU rRNA". It matches the Rfam family "Bacterial small subunit ribosomal RNA", at positions 338 to 795 of the family's 1533-position model. Lineage: Bacteria; Pseudomonadati; Bacteroidota; Bacteroidia; Marinilabiliales; Marinilabiliaceae. The record is from RNAcentral.
CCUACGGGGGGCAGCAGUGAGGAAUAUUGGUCAAUGGACGCAAGUCUGAACCAGCCAUGUCGCGUGCAGGAUGACGGCCCUAUGGGUUGUAAACUGCUUUUGUACGGGAAGAAAAGAGGGUAUGUAUACUCUUUUGCCGGUACUGUACGAAUAAGCAUCGGCUAACUCCGUGCCAGCAGCCGCGGUAAUACGGAGGAUGCGAGCGUUAUCCGGAUUUAUUGGGUUUAAAGGGUGCGUAGGCGGAAUGGUAAGUCAGUGGUGAAAUGGUGCAGCUCAACUGUAGCAUUGCCAUUGAUACUGUCAUUCUUGAGUACAGAUGAGGUAGGCGGAAUGUGGUGUGUAGCGGUGAAAUGCUUAGAUAUACCACAGAACACCGAUUGCGAAGGCAGCUUACUAGGCUGACACUGACGCUGAAGCACGAAAGCGUGGGUAUCAAACAGGAUUAGAUACCCGGGUAGUC